UACGUAGGGUGCAGGCGUUAAUCGGAAUUACUGGGCGUAAAGGGCGCGUAGGCGGUCAGCACAAGUCAGUUGUGAAAUCUCCGGGCUUAACUCGGAAAGGUCAACUGAUACUGUGCGACUAGAGUGCAGAAGGGGCAACUGGAAUUCUCGGUGUAGCGGUGAAAUGCGUAGAUAUCGAGAGGAACACCUGCGGCGAAGGCGGGUUGCUGGGCUGACACUGACGCUGAUGCGCGAAAGCCAGGGGAGCGAACGGG
Molecule: ribosomal RNA, 254 nt
Filed under: uncultured bacterium
Lineage: Bacteria
Description: partial 16S ribosomal RNA
Rfam family: Bacterial small subunit ribosomal RNA
Source: RNAcentral